UUUUGCCAUUCCAAACCCCUCCAUCCUCCCCUAAAAACCUCUGUGGUGCUCCCAAGUCAGAAUCUCAGGUGAGGUUUCCAGCAGAACUGAGCUCCCCAGACCUGCUGGCUCUGACUCUGAAUUUCUGUCUCUGCCAGACUGUAGUGACUGAUUCCCUCCUCCCUUUUGCCUCUUUUCCUGCUCUCUCCAUCACUCCAGCCUUCCCCAGGGAUGCUCAGUGUGGAAUCAUCCCAUGGGAGCAGUGCCAGGAGAGUGUGCUGGGUGCUGGUAACUUCCAGGCCUUACCUGGAAUCUCUCCUCUCCCAGAUUCCCGAGGUUUUGGAGUGCCCAAAUUCCACAGAAACCCUCCAGACCUUCCCUGGAAUCUUUCUUCACUCCCAGAUUCCAGAGGGGUUUUGGAGAUCCCAAAUUCCACAGAUCUUUCCUCACUCCCAGAUUCCAGAGAGGUUUUGGAGAGCCCAAAUUCCAGAGAAACCCUCCAGACAUUACCUGGAAUCUCUCCUCACUCCCUGAGUAAUGCAGCCCGAAUUCCAGAGGUUUUGGAGAGCCCAAAUUCCACAGAAACCCUCCAGACCUUACCUGGAAUAUUUCUUCACUCCCAAAUUGCAGAGGUUUU
Molecule: long non-coding RNA, 616 nt
Filed under: Zonotrichia albicollis (white-throated sparrow)
Lineage: Eukaryota; Metazoa; Chordata; Aves; Passeriformes; Passerellidae
Description: lncRNA (ENSZALG00000001718.1)
Source: RNAcentral